Molecule: ribosomal RNA, 454 nt
Filed under: uncultured Ochrobactrum sp.
Lineage: Bacteria; Pseudomonadati; Pseudomonadota; Alphaproteobacteria; Hyphomicrobiales; Brucellaceae
Description: bacterial SSU rRNA
Rfam family: Bacterial small subunit ribosomal RNA
Source: RNAcentral
GCGGUGGAGCAUGUGGUUUAAUUCGAAGCAACGCGCAGAACUUACCAGCCCUUGACAUACCGGUCGCGGACACAGAGAUGUGUCUUUCAGUUCGGCUGGACCGGAUACAGGUGCUGCAUGGCUGUCGUCAGCUCGUGUCGUGAGAUGUUGGGUUAAGUCCCGCAACGAGCGCAACCCUCGCCCUUAGUUGCCAGCAUUUAGUUGGGCACUCUAAGGGGACUGCCGGUGAUAAGCCGAGAGGAAGGUGGGGAUGACGUCAAGUCCUCAUGGCCCUUACGGGCUGGGCUACACACGUGCUACAAUGGUGGUGACAGUGGGCAGCGAGCACGCGAGUGUGAGCUAAUCUCCAAAAGCCAUCUCAGUUCGGAUUGCAGUCUGCAACUCGACUGCAUGAAGUUGGAAUCGCUAGUAAUCGUGGAUCAGCCAAGCCGCGGUGAAUACGUUCCCGGGCCUU